Long non-coding RNA from Chinchilla lanigera (long-tailed chinchilla), 1226 nucleotides. RefSeq lists it as uncharacterized. The transcript has 3 exons. The record is from RefSeq and is a predicted model, not a curated record. NCBI's taxonomy places the organism in Eukaryota, Metazoa, Chordata, Mammalia, Rodentia, Chinchillidae.
UCCUCCUGCCUCAGCCUCCCAGAGUGCUGGAAUGGCAGGCCUGUACCGCUAGGCUAGUUUUGGCUUUUAUUCAACACAACCACAGAAAAGGCAGCUGGGAAAAGGAAGCAGUGCUUUGCGGAAUCGUGGACAGGAGCAGCGUGUGGAAACCCCCAGACCGGCUCAUCAGAGGGCGGGGCUCAGGGAGACGGCAGCGGCGGGCAGCCCACACGGUGCUCUUCCAGGGGUCUGGGUGGGGCUGUCACCCCCAGGUACACAGAGCAGGAGGAACGGGGCAGUGGGGCGUGCGGGUGGGGAGCACAGCGAGGACACGUGGAGAAGACAUCUGCCUGCGACACCAGACUGCAGGUGACCUGUAGCAGGUUCCAAACAGCGCAGCGAAGGCGGCGGCAGUGGCGCAGCCAGCGGGCUCCGAGAGGGAAGCUGCCAGGAGCAGACCCCAGAGCCCCGUGACCUCGGCUUUCCUGGUUCCCCAAACAUCACUCUGGUGCGGUGUUGGACUCUCCACAGCUGCACAGGGCUGCGCGUCCAGAGCCCGGGGCUGCGCCUGCGGAGCAGGGCGGGAAGGACCGCCCGGUGCUUGCUGGGUAGCUCCCCACCACUCCAGCUCCGGAGCUGGGCCUGCCAAGGGCCGCACACUGCCGUGGGUGGAGGGCUCCCUGCUGCUCCCAAAGGGUGGGAGCUCCAGGGAGGCUGAGCAGCUUCCCAGCACUACCAGCUUGUUGUUGACAGAGCUUGGACUUCUGGGUUUUCGACAGAGCUUCUCUGCCCUUCCUAAGGGAACAACAGGCAGCAGCUGUAGCUACUCAGCGGGGCCCUCAAAGGACAAUGCAGCCCAGGAGCAGCGUGUGAGCUGAUCCUCACUGGGGAUUUCACAGGGACGCACAAAGGGGGGAUGUUUCCUCCUGGCUUUGGUGCGGUCUCUGCGAGCCUCCUUUCCCACGCUCUGGCCUUGGGCCCUUCCCCCUCCCCCGGCUGCGGGCAUCCAGGGGGCCUCGGGAUUCCUCAUGUGGUUUCAUCAUCCAUUGAAGAGAAGACGUCACCGUGGUAAUGACUGACCUUACUCUCCGACUGGAGCACGUCUCACAGAGGUGCAAAGACCACAGAGGGCCUUCCAGCUCUCAGCUCAACUCAAGAGUUUACAUUUCAAGUUAUUUUACCCUCCAGGAAAAAAAUCCAGUAAAUUACUGUACAUUAUAUUCACGGGUUGCCGUGAAAUAAAGUAG